CCCUUAGAUGUUCUGGGCCGCACGCGCCCUACACUGACGAAUGCAACGAGCUUAUAACCUUGGCCGAAAGGUCUGGGUAAUCUCCAAAUUUCGUCGUGAUGGGGAUAGAUUAUUGCAAUUAUUAAUCUUCAACGAGGAAUGCCUAGUAAGCGCAAGUCAUCAGCUUGCGUUGAUUACGUCCCUGCCCUUUGUACACACCGCCCGUCGCUCCUACCGAUUGAAUGGUCCGGUGAAGCGUUCGGACCGUGGCCUUUGGACGGUUCGCCGUCUGUUGGCUGCGGGAAGUUCGUUAAACCUUAUCAUUUAGAGGAAGGAGAAGUCGUAACA
RNAcentral lists this ribosomal RNA (327 nucleotides) under uncultured eukaryote. RNAcentral's name for it is "partial 18S ribosomal RNA". It matches the Rfam family "Eukaryotic small subunit ribosomal RNA", at positions 1470 to 1796 of the family's 1831-position model. The record is from RNAcentral.